CCGGCACGGGUGAGUAACACGUAUGCAAUCCACCUGUAACAGGGGGAUAACCCGGAGAAAUCCGGACUAAUACCCCAUAAUAUGGGCGCUCCGCAUGGAGAGCCCAUUAAAGAGAGCAAUUUUGGUUACAGACGAGCAUGCGCUCCAUUAGCCAGUUGGCGGGGUAACGGCCCACCAAGCGUACGAUGGAUAGGGGUUCUGAGAGGAAGGUCCCCCACAUUGGAACUGAGACACGGUCCAA
Molecule: ribosomal RNA, 241 nt
Filed under: uncultured bacterium
Lineage: Bacteria
Description: partial 16S ribosomal RNA
Rfam family: Bacterial small subunit ribosomal RNA
Source: RNAcentral